Non-coding RNA from Punica granatum (pomegranate), 356 nucleotides. The record is from RefSeq and is a predicted model, not a curated record. NCBI's taxonomy places the organism in Eukaryota, Viridiplantae, Streptophyta, Magnoliopsida, Myrtales, Lythraceae.
CUCUGUUCUCGCCGACUCUUCUCUCCAUUCCCCUUUCUCGAUUUUUCUGAGCUAAGCUCCAAUCCUACCCAGGUUUUCGUUUGCCGGCGUCUAGUUCUUCGAUCUCACGGUCGCCCCUGGCUGGUCAGGUUGUAGGGAGACGCUUCUUCACUCUCCUUCAGGGUUGUAAUCCGAUUCCAAUGGUUGCUGAUCCAGAAGUAUUUGUGGUUCAACUAAGAUCAUAUCACUUGUUCUUUGUCGUUGCGAGUGAUGGUGUCUUUGAGUUCUUUUCGAGCCAAGCUGUUGUCAACAUGAAGCCCGGCAAUUGUGAUCCCAUCACAUACACAUCAUCAGACUUUGCAGAUGGUAAGUAUAUG